CUAACAAGGAUUCCCCUAGUAACGGCGAGUGAACAGGGAAGAGCUCAAAUUUGUAAUCUGGCGUCCUUUGGGCGUCCGAGUUGUAAUCUAUAGAAGCGUUUUCCGUGCUGGACCAUGUCCAAGUCCCUUGGAACAGGGUAUCAAAGAGGGUGACAAUCCCGUGCUUGACAUGACGACCAGUGCUCUGUGAUACGCUCUCUACGAGUCGAGUUGUUUGGGAAUGCAGCUCAAAAUGGGUGGUGAGUUCCAUCUAAAGCUAAAUAUUGGCGAGAGACCGAUAGCGAACAAGUACCGUGAGGGAAAGAUGAAAAGCACUUUGGAAAGAGAGUUAAACAGUACGUGAAAUUGUUGAAAGGGAAACGAUUGAAGUCAGUCGUGUCCGAGGGGUUCAGCCGGUCCCGCCGGUGUAUUCCCCUCGGAUGGGUCAACGUCAGUUUGGACCGGUGGAAAAGGGCAGUUGGAAGGUGGCAGCUCCGGCUGUGUUAUAGCCUUCUGUCGCACACGCCGGUCUAGACUGAGGAAUGCAGCUCGCCUUCAUGGCUGGGGUUCUCCCACAUUCGAGCUUAGGAUGUUGACAUAAUGGCUUUAAACGACCCGUCUUGA
This 603-nucleotide ribosomal RNA is filed under the name Kockovaella prillingeri. Its description in RNAcentral is "eukaryotic LSU rRNA". It matches the Rfam family "Eukaryotic large subunit ribosomal RNA", at positions 65 to 657 of the family's 3401-position model. The record is from RNAcentral. Lineage: Eukaryota; Fungi; Basidiomycota; Tremellomycetes; Tremellales; Cuniculitremaceae.